AACGCUAGCUACAGGCUUAACACAUGCAAGUCGAGGGGCAGCAUGGAGUCUGCUUGCAGACUCUGAUGGCGACCGGCGCACGGGUGUGUAACGCGUAUCCAACCUGCCCAUUACUCGGGCAUAGCCCAGUGAAAACUGGAUUAACUCCCGAUAUUGUUCUGAUGCGGCAUCUUAUCAGGACAAAAGUUUACGGUAAUGGAUGGGGAUGCGUCUGAUUAGGUAGAUGGCGGGGUAACGGCCCACCAUGCCUACGAUGUCUAGGGGUUCUGAGAGGAAGGUCCCCCACACUGGAACCGAGACACGGUCCAGACUCCUACGGGAGGCAGCAGUGAGGAAUAUUGGUCAAUGGGCGCAAGCCUGAACCAGCCAAGUAGCGUGAAGGAUGACUGCCCUAUGGGUUGUAAACUUCUUUUAUACGGGAACAACCGUUGGUACGUGUACCAAUCUGCGUGUACCGUAUGAAUAAGCAUCGGCUAACUCCGUGCCAGCAGCCGCGGUAAUACGGAGGAUGCGAGCGUUAUCCGGAUUUAUUGGGUUUAAAGGGAGCGUAGGUGGCCUGUUAAGCCAGCUGUGAAAUACUGUAGCUCAACUACAGCCGUGCAGUUGGAACUGUCGGGCUUGAGUGCACAAGAGGAAGGUGGAAUUCGUGGUGUAGCGGUGAAAUGUUUAGAUAUCACGAAGAACUCCGAUUG
This 692-nucleotide ribosomal RNA is filed under the name uncultured Bacteroidales bacterium. RNAcentral's name for it is "bacterial SSU rRNA". It matches the Rfam family "Bacterial small subunit ribosomal RNA", at positions 32 to 715 of the family's 1533-position model. The record is from RNAcentral. Lineage: Bacteria; Pseudomonadati; Bacteroidota; Bacteroidia; Bacteroidales.